AAGUGGGUAGUUCGUCAGAAGAAAAAUCCCAUCCCUCACUCCAGCUAGCUGCAUAAAGAAAAGCAAGAACCAGGGCGGGCAGAUUUAUCAUCGAGAGCACCCACAUCCAUUUAGUUCCAGUAAGAGGACCCCCCUGGAGCUCUAAAUGGAUACCAGCCUGUCACAGGCCUGUUGCUGUGACGACCCAGUCUUUACUGAACAAGAAAAAGAAAUGAUAGUGAUUGGCAGACCUUCCUUGCCCUAGUAUGUAACACAAAGGGAGACAAAAUGAAGAGGAAGUCAGACUGUUAUUAUGGGUUUGAUGCUUCUUAACCUUACAGCACCUUACACCUGGUAAGUGUCACCCUGCAAACUUAAACCCUCAGCAGAGCGCUGUAACAUUUCAGUAUCAGAUGGGAAGAGCUAAAUCAGGCAUUAAUUUACCCAUCCUCUUGUUUCAGUUGAUUGAAAUGCAAACAGCAUUUGAGCAAAACUGCAUUAGCAGAGAAGAAAUAAACAUGAAGGGCCAAGCCCUGCUCGCCUGGCCCUCAGAAGUGAGUUUAGAGGUGUAAAAGCUGUAAGUCAAGCAGGAUUCAUCCCAGAGUGUAAAUGAAUGAGUAGCCAGCAAAGCAAGGACUGCAAGAGGGAACUGUCUGCAGCCCCUAUUCGCCCUGCAUGAGAGAGGAAAGAAUUUGAUAAAUUCUACCAUAUGGUGCCAUGCUGUAUCUUGCUAGCUAUAAAUAAUAGUCUUUCUGUUUCUGGUUUUCUUUAGCUUUCCUUGGUAGCUGUGACAGAUUUUCAGCAAUGGGUAUAAAAAAAGUGUAAAAUGCAGUUUCCCCACCUUUUUAUUUUCUUUAAACCAGAUUGAAAAGAAAAAAGACAAAAAAGAUCCAAAGAAAAGGAAUAAAAUAGGAAGUUUUCCAUUAGCUUACCAACAUGAAAAUCCAGAUAAAGUCAUUGUGAUGUUAGAAUAUUGUACAUUUAAUUGUUUCUAUUAAGAGCUGUCAAUGAAAAUGAUUGCUUAAGAGUGACAGAUAUACACCUGCAUCCACACUGCUGGAGCUAUAUCUCUGUCUUAUGCAUGUUUUUCUUAAACUUAAUUAUAAAUUUUUUUA
Long non-coding RNA from Cyanistes caeruleus (blue tit), 1094 nucleotides. RefSeq lists it as uncharacterized. The record is from RefSeq and is a predicted model, not a curated record. NCBI's taxonomy places the organism in Eukaryota, Metazoa, Chordata, Aves, Passeriformes, Paridae.